Molecule: ribosomal RNA, 254 nt
Filed under: uncultured bacterium
Lineage: Bacteria
Description: partial 16S ribosomal RNA
Rfam family: Bacterial small subunit ribosomal RNA
Source: RNAcentral
UACGUAGGGUGCAAGCGUUGUUCGGAUUUACUGGGCGUAAAGGGCACGUAGGCGGCGCGUAAAGUCGGACAUGAAAUCAUUGGGCUUAACCCAAUGGCUGUGCCCGAUACUUGCGUGCUUAGAGUGCGGGAGAGGCAAUCGGAAUUCUCGGUGUAGCGGUGAAAUGCGUAGAUAUCGAGAGGAACUCCAGUGACGAAGGUGGGUUGCUGGACCGACACUGACGCUGAGGCGCGAAAGCUAGGGGAGCAAACGGG